CCCUGGUAUAAUUUAUUGAAAAUAAUUUAGUAAAUUAAUAAAAAUUAAUAAUUUUGGCGGUUAAUUAUAUAAUUAGAGGAGCUUGUUGAAAUGAGAAUUUACUCUUUAUAUUUUAAUAUUUAUGGUUUAUUCAUCUCUGUUAAUUAGGUGAGAAGCUAUUUUAAAAAUAUUUUUUAUUUCAGGUCAAGAUGUAGCAAUUUAAUAUUGAAAAUUAGCUACAAUUAUAAAAUAAUAUAUAUAAUAUUGGAAUGAAUUUUAUUAUAAAUUGAAUUUAGUUGUAAUAAUUAUUAGAAUGUAAUUAUGAUUUUGUAUAAUUAACGUA
RNAcentral lists this ribosomal RNA (322 nucleotides) under Longiperna cancellata. Its description in RNAcentral is "partial 12S ribosomal RNA". The record is from RNAcentral. Lineage: Eukaryota; Metazoa; Arthropoda; Arachnida; Opiliones; Gonyleptidae.